Molecule: regulatory RNA element, 70 nt
Organism: Flammeovirga sp. SJP92
Lineage: Bacteria; Pseudomonadati; Bacteroidota; Cytophagia; Cytophagales; Flammeovirgaceae
Rfam family: DUF805 RNA
Source: Rfam
UUAGAGUGGAGUCCAGAUACCACUUAAAUCAACGGUGGCAAAUUCCAAAAGCCAUAAAAGUAGGACAAAC